Molecule: ribosomal RNA, 449 nt
Filed under: uncultured bacterium
Lineage: Bacteria
Description: partial 16S ribosomal RNA
Rfam family: Bacterial small subunit ribosomal RNA
Source: RNAcentral
AGCGAACGCUGGCGGCAGGCCUAACACAUGCAAGUCGAACGAAGUCUUCGGACUUAGUGGCGGACGGGUGAGUAACACGUGGGAACGUGCCUUUAGGUCCGGAAUAACUCAGGGAAACUUGUGCUAAUACCGAAUGUGCCCUUCGGGGGAAAGAUUUAUCGCCUUUAGAGCGGCCCGCGUCUGAUUAGCUAGUUGGUGAGGUAAAGGCUCACCAAGGCGACGAUCAGUAGCUGGUCUGAGAGGAUGAUCAGCCACAUUGGGACUGAAACACGGCCCAAACUCCUACGGGAGGCAGCAGUGGGGAAUCUUGCGCAAUGGGCGAAAGCCUGACGCAGCCAUGCCGCGUGAAUGAUGAAGGUCUUAGGAUUGUAAAAUUCUUUCACCGGGGACGAUAAUGACGGUACCCGGAGAAGAAGCCCCGGCUAACUUCGUGCCAGCCGCCGCAGUAA